Molecule: long non-coding RNA, 1393 nt
Organism: Astatotilapia calliptera (eastern happy)
Lineage: Eukaryota; Metazoa; Chordata; Actinopteri; Cichliformes; Cichlidae
Source: Ensembl
CUGGGCAUGCUUUCAAUAAUUUAAGGAUCUCAUAUGUGUUAAUUCACUUGUGGUUUGCUUUCCAUAUCACAAUGGUCUAAGAAGCGUGUGGAUGUCAGUGCACAGUGAGGUACAUUUUUCUUCUGCCACUCUUUUGUUACCUUGGUUUUGGGUCAUUCUUAUGCUUUGUUACGACUGUGACCGUAAUUGUGUGUGGAUUUGAGUGUCUAGGUGCUCCUCCGGGGUAUGUUACGAUUUGGCGUUGGUAUUGUAUUGUUUUUGUGUGACUGUUAUGUGUUUCCUACUUUAUUUUGAAAGUCUAUGUUAUCUUAGUGUGUUCAGUUUACGUUUCCCUGUCUCGUCAGUUCUGAUUUGUCCCAGCUGUGUUUCCCUCCUGUUGUCCAUUCCCUGAUUGCUCCCUCCAUGUAUUUAAGCCCUGUGUUUCUGUAUGUCAUGGUCGCGAUCUUCUUCCCCCCGUUGUAAAUAGUUUGGCGCCUUGUGUGUGAUGUAAAUAAAUAUUGUGUUUUGCUUUAAAGAAAUUAGUUGUUGAUACUUUCGUUUUGGGAUGAUUUUGGCGGAAACCCGUAUUAGUUUUUUCUCGUGUGUUUUUACCUUAUUUUUAUUUUCCUUAUUUUUGUUUUUCUACGUUGCACCCCGGUUGCCUAGGCCGGGGUGGGGUGUUACGACUGUGACCGUAAUUGUGUGUGGAUUUGAGUGUCUAGGUGCUCCUCCGGGGUAUGUUACGAUUUGGCGUUGGUAUUGUAUUGUUUUUGUGUGACUGUUAUGUGUUUCCUACUUUAUUUUGAAAGUCUAUGUUAUCUUAGUGUGUUCAGUUUACGUUUCCCUGUCUCGUCAGUUCUGAUUUGUCCCAGCUGUGUUUCCCUCCUGUUGUCCAUUCCCUGAUUGCUCCCUCCAUGUAUUUAAGCCCUGUGUUUCUGUAUGUCAUGGUCGCGAUCUUCUUCCCCCCGUUGUAAAUAGUUUGGCGCCUUGUGUGUGAUGUAAAUAAAUAUUGUGUUUUGCUUUAAAGAAAUUAGUUGUUGAUACUUUCGUUUUGGGAUGAUUUUGGCGGAAACCCGUAUUAGUUUUUUCUCGUGUGUUUUUACCUUAUUUUUAUUUUCCUUAUUUUUGUUUUUCUACGUUGCACCCCGGUUGCCUAGGCCGGGGUGUAACAGCUUGAAGACCCAUCUGUGAGUCAUCUUCAGUGUUCUGGCUGAGAGAAGGAGGUUCUUGUUCAGGAUUUUGAACCCUUAAUAGAAAAACAGCUGCAAAGCAUGUUUCCUCCUCCGUGCUUAAGUGUGGGGGUGGUGUGAUUUUGGUUUCAUCUGACCACAGCAGUCUCUGGCAAAUUUAAGAUCAUCCUGUACAUGUUCCUUCUUGAGCAGAGGGACCUUGUGGACCUUGCAUUGUGUGUUAC